This is a non-coding RNA of Coturnix japonica (Japanese quail), 861 nucleotides long. The record is from RefSeq and is a predicted model, not a curated record. NCBI's taxonomy places the organism in Eukaryota, Metazoa, Chordata, Aves, Galliformes, Phasianidae.
CCUGGCUUAAGACAGUUUUAAUCCAAUUAAGAUGUUGGGUUCAGUGGAGCUGAGUAAUUCUUGUGGGUAAGCUUUGGAUAAUUGUGGUCUUUCUGUUGAAAUGAUGACGUCAAUUGAGGUAAAGCUCAUUUGUACAUGAAAACGGGAAGAGUUGUUGGAAUCAUCACACAAUCUUUGAAGUCUUCACUUGUCACAUGCACACUGUGAUAAUAACUUAUGUUACUUUCAUUGGCUGUGUUGCAAUUAAGAUUCUGGAUCUCCCAGACUUUUCUUGACUUCAAGUAGCCUUACUCCAUAUAAGUGGGGGCCGCUCGGUGUCAGCUUCACAUCGUGAAUGGAUUUAGGGCGGAUGAAUGCAGAAUGAGUGCUAAUGCACUGGCACCGCAGCUCGUUCGCCAUCUUUACCAGGGUCCUACCUAUGAGCACAGAAGGAAGAUUGCAUUUGAGGUAAGUCUUGAACUUAAAGUGAUGGAAUUGGAGAGGAAGGAAAAAAUGACUUCCGGAGAACACUUGUGCAGCCUUAUGCAAAUUUUUACACUUCAUGCCCAACAUUUCAAGAUGGAACAUUGUGCUGCAUAGUAUAAGGAGAGAACAAGCAGGCUGGAGACAGAAGAACAGUAAUGCAAGCAACAGGUGCCUCGUGUCUUUCAGGCUGUGAAUAUGUCUCCCAGCGACACUUAUCUACAAAAGGUAGAGCUCCAGUAUUUCACUUCUGCAAUUUUGCUGUUCCCUAACCUCAAGCAGACGUGCCAGCAUCACUCACUUACAAGUGAAUCAUGUGUUGUGGGGACAUCCAAACGCCAUUACCAUGUCACUUUACUUGGAGAGAGGAAUUUUGUAAUGAGUUCCAGAAAUACAAUA